GUCAGUGAGUGUGUCUGUGUCCAACUCUUCCUCACAGGUUAGUUAAUGACAGACAGUCAGUGAGUGUGUCUGUGUCCAACUCUUCCUCACAGGUUAGUUAAUGACAGACAGUCAGUGAGUGUGUCUGUGUCCAACUCUUCCUCACAGGUUAGUUAAUGACAGACAGUCAGUGAGUGUGUCUGUGUCCAACUCUUCCUCACAGGUUAGUUAAUGACAGACAGUCAGUGAGUGUGUCUGUGUCCAACUCUUCCUCACAGGUUAGUUAAUGAUGUUACUGAGUCAAUGUGAGCAGAUUGUGUCUGUAGAUUGAAGAGAAUCAGAGUCUCACUGAUGGUGGAAAUAAAGGUUUUACUUCCUUAAAACA
Molecule: long non-coding RNA, 364 nt
Organism: Dicentrarchus labrax (European seabass)
Lineage: Eukaryota; Metazoa; Chordata; Actinopteri; Moronidae
Exons: 2
Source: RefSeq, a predicted model, not a curated record